Molecule: ribosomal RNA, 406 nt
Filed under: uncultured bacterium
Lineage: Bacteria
Description: partial 16S ribosomal RNA
Rfam family: Bacterial small subunit ribosomal RNA
Source: RNAcentral
AUUGAACGCUGGCGGCAGGCCUAACACAUGCAAGUCGAACGAGUGGCGGACGGGUGAGUAAUGUCUGGGAAACUGCCUGAUGGAGGGGGAUAACUACUGGGAACGGUAGCUAAUACCGCAUACCAUCGAAUGUGCCCAGAUGGGAUUAGCUAGUAUGUGGGGUAAAGUCUCACCUAGGCGACGAUCCCUAGCUGGUCUGAAAGGAUGACCAGCCACACGGUAAUUGAGACACGGUACAGACUCCUACGUGAGGCAGCAGUGGGGAAUAUUGCACAAUGGGCGCAAGCCUGAUGCAGCCAGGCCGCGUGUAUGAAGAAGGCCUUCGGGUUUCAAAGUACUUUCAGCUGGGAGGCGUUACCAGCAGAAUAAGCACCGGCUAACUCCGUGCCAGCAGCCGCGGUAAUUC